This 244-nucleotide ribosomal RNA is filed under the name uncultured bacterium. Its description in RNAcentral is "partial 16S ribosomal RNA". It matches the Rfam family "Bacterial small subunit ribosomal RNA", at positions 90 to 334 of the family's 1533-position model. The record is from RNAcentral.
ACUGAGCGGCGGACGGGUGAGUAACGCGUGGGUAACCUGCCUCAUACAGGGGGAUAACAGUUGGAAACGGCUGCUAAUACCGCAUAAGCGCACAGUACCGCAUGGUACGGUGUGAAAAACUCCGGUGGUAUGAGAUGGACCCGCGUCUGAUUAGGUAGUUGGUGGGGUAACGGCCUACCAAGCCGACGAUCAGUAGCCGACCUGAGAGGGUGACCGGCCACAUUGGGACUGGGACACGGCCCAA